RNAcentral lists this ribosomal RNA (467 nucleotides) under uncultured bacterium. RNAcentral describes it as "partial 16S ribosomal RNA". It matches the Rfam family "Bacterial small subunit ribosomal RNA", at positions 28 to 507 of the family's 1533-position model. The record is from RNAcentral.
GACGAACGCUGGCGGCGUGCUUAACACAUGCAAGUCGAACGGAAAGGCCUCUUUCGGGGGGUACUCGAGUGGCGAACGGGUGAGUAACACGUGAGUAACCUGCCCUUGACUUUGGGAUAACUUCAGUAAACUGGGGCUAAUACCGGAUAGGAGCUCCUGCUGCAUGGUGGGGGUUGGAAAGUUUCGGCGGUUGGGGAUGGGCUCGCGGCUUAUCAGCUUGUUGGUGGGGUAGUGGCUUACCAAGGCUUUGACGGGUAGCCGGCCUGGGAGGGUGACCGGCGACAUUGGGACUGAGAUACGGCCCAGGCGCGUACGGGAGGCAGCAGUGGGGAAUAUUGCACAAGGGGUGGAGGCCUGAUGCAGCAACGCCGUGUGCGGGAGGACGGCCUUCGGGUUGGAAACCGCUUUCGCUCAUGACGAAGCUUUGUGUGACGGUAGUGGGUAAAGAAGCACCGGCUAACUACGUG